UCACAGUCUAAAUAGGAGGGAGAACAAGUAUUUAAUCCCUAUUUUACAGUUGAGGAAAUAGAGGCACGGAUAAAUUACGUCCAAUUUCACACAGCAAGCAAUUGGCGGAGCUGGGAUUUGAACUCAGGUCUUCUGACUCCCAGGCCCAGUAGGCUGCACUGAUGAAAGACUGAUUGUUUGAUUUAUUCAGGGUUGCCCUACACGCCCUGAUAUUGGGAGCAACAUGGUCUAGUAGAAAGAACAUGGACCCAGGAGUCAGAGGAGCUAAUUCUGGCUCCCCCAUUUUGCCUGCUACAUGACUCGGCGCAAGUCACUUAACUUCUCUGUGCCUCAGUUGUUUCAACUGUAAAAUGGGGACUUAAAUCCUGUUAUCCUAUUUAGACUGUAAGUCUUAUGUGGCGCAGAGACUGUGUCCAUUCUGAUUAACUUAUUCCUACUCCAGAGCUUAGAAAAGGUGCUUGAGGAAUAGGAAAUGCUUAAGAAAUGCCACGAUUAUUGUAACUGUCUUUCCUGUUUAUCCCAGGUACCAGAGAACUGAGAGUGACCCUCAGCACUUCCUUACCUCUGCAACAAGGCAGUAAAGAAAGAUGCCACUGCUCUCUAUCCAUAGCAUGCAAGCCAGGACUCCGAAGCCAACAGACGUCAACUAAUGGGCCCGCGAUGGGCUAAAGCACGUGUGCCAGGAUUUAAAGGAAAAUCGUCAAUAGCGCGUAGUUUGGCAUGUUGAU
RNAcentral lists this long non-coding RNA (728 nucleotides) under Ornithorhynchus anatinus (platypus). Its description in RNAcentral is "lncRNA (ENSOANG00000049620.1)". Lineage: Eukaryota; Metazoa; Chordata; Mammalia; Monotremata; Ornithorhynchidae. The record is from RNAcentral.